RNAcentral lists this long non-coding RNA (281 nucleotides) under Homo sapiens (human). Its description in RNAcentral is "non-protein coding lnc-IFNG-7:1". Lineage: Eukaryota; Metazoa; Chordata; Mammalia; Primates; Hominidae. The record is from RNAcentral.
AGGGAUGACUCCUACUCUGGGACCAUUGACAUUUAGGGAUGUGGCCAUAGAAUCCUCUUGGGAGAAGUGGCCAUGCCUGGAGACUCUACUCAGAGGGGUUUAUGCAGAGAUGUGAUGUUGGAGAACUAAAGGAACUUUAUCUUCCUGGGAAUCUCUCUUUUUGACCUGGGUAGUAUCUCCAUGUUGGAGUAAGGGAAAGAGCCUUGGACUGUAGAGAGGCAAGUGCAAAUAGCAAGAAACUGAAAUGGGUGACAAUGGAUCAAAUGUGUGAUCACAGGUCU